AGAACGAACGCUGGCGGCAGGCCUCAAACAUGCAAGUCUAGGGGGUGUAGCAAUACAUCACCGGCGGACGGGUGCGUAACGCGUGGGAAUAUACCUAUUGGUUCGGAACAACUGAGGGAAACUUCAGCUAAUACCGGAUGAGCCCUAACGGGGAAAGAUUUCUCGCCAAUAGAUUAGCCCGCGUCCGAUUAGCUAGUUGGUGGGGUAAAAGCCUACCAAGGCGACGAUCGGUAGCUGUUCUGAGAGGAAGAUCAGCCACACUGGGACUGAGACACGGCCCAGACUCCUACGGGAGGCAGCAGUUGGGAAUCUUGGACAAUGGGGGAAACCCUGAUCCAGCCAUGCCGCGUGAGUGAUGAAGGCCUUCGGGUUGUAAAACUCUUUCGACGGGGACGAUAAUGACGGUACCGUAGAAGAGCUCCGGCUAACUUCGCGCCAGCGCCGC
RNAcentral lists this ribosomal RNA (445 nucleotides) under uncultured bacterium. RNAcentral's name for it is "SSU rRNA". It matches the Rfam family "Bacterial small subunit ribosomal RNA", at positions 26 to 518 of the family's 1533-position model. The record is from RNAcentral.